Long non-coding RNA from Ochotona princeps (American pika), 1327 nucleotides. RefSeq lists it as uncharacterized. The transcript is spliced from 5 exons. Lineage: Eukaryota; Metazoa; Chordata; Mammalia; Lagomorpha; Ochotonidae. The record is from RefSeq and is a predicted model, not a curated record.
AAUACGUCUGUUGGUGCCAGGAGUCAUGAUGUUGCUGUGCUCCUAAUCGAAGUCUGAGGGCAAAUCUGUGAUUGAUGGUAUCAGAAAAUAAGAACUGAUUGCGACUAACAGAUAGUGCCAGGGUCAAAAGCAAGCUAGUCACUAACCUUGGUGCACAUUACAUUAACUGAAAUUUCUGUCUAUCUGUUACUGUGUCACUUGGAAAUGAGCAGAUAAAAUUUUACCAUGUUUAAAGAGUGUGUUUCUGUUAGUCUGACCCAAUAGGUAAAUGAAAUUGACUUUGAACGAUCUGGGAGGUAGCCAUUUAUAACUCACUGGUUUGUGUCUCCAUCUGUCUCACCCUCUGUGUGUGUCCAUAGUGAUUUUAAACCCUGGCUGCGGUUUCCUGAAUAAUCAAAAGAUAUUCUGUGCUCCCUCUCUUUUAAUCUGUGUGGGCUUGUGACUGAUUGACCAGUAGAAUAUGAUGAAAGUGGCUGUAGUCAUCAUAUGUGACUUCUGAGGUUAGGUCAUAAAAGGCCAGACAGCUGCACCUAACUACUGAAACACUUUGGAAAUUCUCUGCCAUCAUGUAAGAAGUCCUCCUACCUGAGUUCUGAAUGCUGUAAGAAUGCCUGAGAUACAUAGGAAGCCCCUCGAAGAUAUCCUGGUUUCUAGUCACAGCUCAGAGCAGCCCUCAAGUCAACUCAGCCCAGGUGCCAAGAGUGGUCCUCUAAUUCACUCCCUGAAUGACUUCAGUGUCCUGGAAUCAGCCAGAUAAAAGCCAAGAGCCAGUUAUUCCAUCCAGGUUACUCACAUGGCUGGCACAGGAACCCAGAUGCCUGAAACAUCUAGUGCUGUGCCAGGCUGCAGCCAGGAGCUGGGAUCUCCAUCUGGUCUCCUGUGUGGGCACAGCCACUGCUGUCUUCCAAGGAUGAAGGAAAGAUGAGAAGAAGAGCAGACAUCUGGCCUUUGCAUUCAUGGACUACUGAACCAAUGACAUCUGAACUUCUUGCUGUGGGAGGAAGAUAAGCCCCUACUCAGGCACCUCACUGUAAUUUGGAGUUUUCUCUUACCAGCAUUCAAAGAAUCUAACUGAUAAAGCUGUUGCCAUUGUAAUGAAGAGAAACCAGAGUAAGACACACAGCAAGACACAAGACAAAGUCAAAGGGUUGCAAUGCUACGCUUUUCUGCACGAGCUUGCCAUGGUCUCAGUGAAGGAUGCCCAGCCAGCUUUGCUUGUCUGCGAGUAGGAAUGAAACAGCUCUGAAGGUCUGGUGGUGCUGGUGGUAGAGGUAUUUUUCUUUUCCUCAGGACUGGACGCUGGUUCUUCUUAGAAGUACACACAAAA